Molecule: ribosomal RNA, 301 nt
Filed under: uncultured bacterium
Lineage: Bacteria
Description: partial 16S ribosomal RNA
Rfam family: Bacterial small subunit ribosomal RNA
Source: RNAcentral
CAGCCGCCGCGGUAAUACGAAGGGGGCUAGCGUUGUUCGGAAUUACUGGGCGUAAAGCGCACGUAGGCGGAUACUUAAGUUAGGGGUGAAAUCCCAGGGCUCAACCCUGGAACUGCCUUUAAUACUGGGUAUCUUGAGUUCGAGAGAGGUAAGUGGAAUUCCGAGUGUAGAGGUGAAAUUCGUAGAUAUUCGGAGGAACACCAGUGGCGAAGGCGGCUUACUGGCUCGAUACUGACGCUGAGGUGCGAAAGCGUGGGGAGCAAACAGGAUUAGAUACCCCGGUAGUCCCUGUCUCUUAUAC